GAUGAACGCUGGCGGCGUGCUUAACACAUGCAAGUCGAACGGAAAGGCUCCUGCUUGCCGGGGUACUCGAGUGGCGAACGGGUGAGUAACACGUGGGUGAGCUGGCCUGCACUUCGGGAUAAGCCUGGGAAACUGGGUCUAAUACCGGAUAGGACGAUGGUUUGGAUGCCAUUGUGGAAAGUUCUUCGGUGUGGGAUGAGCUCGCGGCCUAUCAGCUUGUUGGUGGGGUAAUGGCCUACCAAGGCGUCGACGGGUAGCCGGCCUGAGAGGGUGUACGGCGACAUUGGGACUGAGGUACGGCCCAGACUGCUACGGGAGGCAGCAGGGGGGAAUAUUGCACAAUGGGCGCAAGCCUGAUGAAGCGACGCCGCGUGGGGGAUGACGGCCUUCGGGUUGUAAACUCCUUUCGCUAGGGACGAAGCGCAAGUGACGGUACCUGGAGAAGAAGCACCGGCUAACUACGUG
This 465-nucleotide ribosomal RNA is filed under the name uncultured bacterium. RNAcentral describes it as "partial 16S ribosomal RNA". It matches the Rfam family "Bacterial small subunit ribosomal RNA", at positions 28 to 507 of the family's 1533-position model. The record is from RNAcentral.